UGCUACGCGUCCACUGUGCGGUUCCCGAACCACCAACACCACACCCCACGGGGUGCCCCAGUGUGUUGACAGUUCAACAGAGUUACGGCGGUCACAGCGAAGGGGAAACGCCCGGUCCCAUACCGAACCCGGAAGCUAAGCCCUUCAGCGCCGAUGGUACUGCCCUGGAGACGGGGUGGGAGAGUAGGACGCCGCCGGAC
This 200-nucleotide ribosomal RNA is filed under the name Cellulosimicrobium cellulans J34. Lineage: Bacteria; Bacillati; Actinomycetota; Actinomycetes; Micrococcales; Promicromonosporaceae. The record is from RNAcentral.